AAACAUGUCAGCUUGCCGCGCGGCACUAUCCCGAAGCUUUGAAUACCUUUGAAUAUUUCUCACCGAAGCUUUGAAGCCCAAAAAUUGGUAUUCAGGACAGUCCUACA
Molecule: long non-coding RNA, 107 nt
Organism: Sebastes umbrosus (honeycomb rockfish)
Lineage: Eukaryota; Metazoa; Chordata; Actinopteri; Perciformes; Sebastidae
Exons: 3
Source: RefSeq, a predicted model, not a curated record